Molecule: long non-coding RNA, 2974 nt
Organism: Chlorocebus sabaeus (green monkey)
Lineage: Eukaryota; Metazoa; Chordata; Mammalia; Primates; Cercopithecidae
Source: RefSeq, a predicted model, not a curated record
UAAGUGUACAGUUCAGUGGUAUGAAUAUAUUCACAAUGUUGUGUAACCAUCAUCACCAUCCAUCUCCAUAACUCAUUUCAUCCUGCAAAACGGAAACUCUGUACACAUUAAACAAUAACUCUCCCUUCCCCUUUCUCCUCCAGCCCCGACAUCCACUAUUCUACUUUCUGCCUCUAUGAUUUAGACUACAGGUAUCUCGUAUAAGUGAAAUCAUACAAUGUUUGCCUUUUGGGGCUGGUUUAUUUCACUCAGCAUGAUGCUUUCAUGGUUCAUCCAGGUUGCAGUAAGUACCAGGAUUUCCUUCCUUUUUAAGACUGGAUAAUAUUUCAUUGUAUGAUAUACCACAUUUUGCUUAUCCAUUCAUUUGUUGAUAGACACUUUUGUUUCUUCUGUGUUUUAGCUAUUGUGCAUUAAUGCUGGUAUGAACAGGAGUGUACAAUGGAAAGAACCCGCUUCCAAUUAUGUUGAAUAGAUACCCUGAAGUGGAAUUGCUGGUUUGCAUGGUGAAGACCUCCCUCCUGUGACCUCAGCCCUCCUCCUUCCCUGUGCUUCUCCACACCACCUGCCUUCGCACACAGGAAUCCAGAUUUUUCUGUCUCGACUUCUCUGAGAGAAGAUUGCAGUGUCUCCUGGCACACCAGGGGGAAUGUAGCAGAACAGGAGGAGUGAACUUCAGUACUGUAAUCAGGCUGGUACUCUUAACACCAGCUUUGCACCUUGGUGGCAGCAUGAGCACUUUAGUUAGAGUCCCAAGUUAGACUCUAGUUAGAUGUCUCAGCCAUCCCCCCUCUCUCUCUCACAUGGUGGCUGUCUUUAUUGAGGGGUUAGGGAAAUUCUCCUAAGAAAUAUAAAGCCCUUCUGGGGUCACCUUCUAAAAACCAUCCAGAAGUGGGUGAGCCUAUCCUUGGGACUUCUUUCUUCACUCAGUUGGCUCCUGCUCCUUCAAGAAUUUUUGGGGACAGGAUGAAAGAACUCAAGGCUCCGGGUUUACCCACCACAACUUUGUAACCUCGCUUUUGCCAUAAUGGUCUUCUUAUGCCUCCACUAUGAAAUGACCAGGACUCUCAUGUUUUUUUCUCCUCUCAUUUCUCCUUUUUUCUCUUCAGUAUAAUCUCUCUUUAUUGAGAACUUACUGUAUGCUAGGAACUAUGCUAUAUACCCAUACUACAUCUCAUUUAAUUCUUACAUAUCCCUGUGAAAGAGGUAGUCAUAUGAAUACCAUUUUAUAUGUGAGAAAACCAAGGCAUAGAAUAGUUAAACAAAUUGUCCGGGAUCUUCUAGUUAAACACUGGCAGAGUCAAGAUUUAGGCUCAGGUCUUUUUGAUGCCCAGACAUAUAUACUUUACCUUUAAAAGUGUGGCUCAUGGAUGCUUGGAGUUUCCUAGGUCCUUUACAGGGUUCUGUGAGAUCAAAACCAUUUUCAUGAUGCUAUUUGCCUUUUUCACUGUGUUGACAUUUACACUGAAGGCACACCGUCAACGAUGGGUAAAACUUUAGGCUGCUUAGCCCAAAUCAAGGCUGUGGCACCAAACUGUAAUACUGAACAUUAUAUUUUUUACUAGAACAUACUUGCAGAAUAAAAAAAAAAAUCACUCUUACUCAAGAGUGUCCUGAUGUGGCAGUAAAAAUAUUAAUUUUCUUAAAUGUUGACCUUUGAGUACAUGCCUAUUUAAUAUUCUGUGUAAUAAAAUGGGAAGUAUGCAAAAACAAUUUGUGCUCAAUAUGUUCGCCUUGAGGAAAAGUACACGUGCAUUUGAGUUGCAAGCUGAACUAGCCACUUUCUUAAUAAAAUACCCGUUUACUUGAAAGAAUGAGUGACAAUUUAUGACUAACCAGACUUCAGUAUUUGGAAAAUAUUUUCUUACAGAUGAACAAAGUGAGACUGUCAUUUCAAGGAAAAUGACUGACAGUAUUUGUUGCCAUAGAUAAGACUGAAGUUUUUAAGCAUAUUAGAAUUUGUGAAAAUUUGUAUUCAUAUUGUAUCAGUCAUGGUCUAGUCAGGAGAGAAAAACCACCUUGCAUUUAAAUAGGGAAAGUUUAGCAUAAACAAUGAACUAUUUGUAAGAACAAAAGAGAAUUCUAAAGAGUACCCUAAGACUAAGGGAGAGUUCCAAUAAAGGAAGAAAUUUGGGUAGGGGCUGGGAAUUAGACUUCAUUGGAGUUGGUAUCAUGGUAGCCCCCUGCAUGACGGGAAGCUACUCUGGGCCAAAGCCCAUCCACAGUCAGUAGGCCAGGCCUGGCAGACGGGAAACUGCUUGUGAUGGUCAAUGGAAUUUGCUGGAAGCUGUCAUGGAGGCUGGUGAACAUGCUGGGAAGCCCAGCUGUGGCACACACAGCGUUUACCAAGAAGCCCUUCUGUGGUCCUAAGAGGCUGCCCCCAGGGAGGAGCUGCAAUGGUGGGUGAACUUUCCAUAAAGCCACUCUCCAUGGUGCCAAGGAAAGCUGGUAAUGGGGAGAUGCCAACUCCAAUGAACAUGACAUUACUUAGUAUCCCAUGCACUGCUGGGUACCAUGCACCAAGGAGCAAGCUGAGAAGAUCACUGGAAGCAGGAAGAAAAGCCUUUCCUCCUCCAGUGUUCUUCCAGUGCUGUCUACUGACAAAAGUCCCAAUUGGCCAGUAAGAAACAUUCCAGUAUUACAAGCAGGAAUGAAGGUAGCCUUGGAGCUAAGCAGCAAUAAUUUGAUGGCUGGCAUAGCCUACCCUUUUGUUUACACAACUUCUGCACACACUUGAACUUCUGUUUGACACUGAAACAACUGUCUUUCUACCUAAUGAGUUAUAGCUAUCCUUUGAACUAGUGAAAUGCUCAUCCUUUUCCUAAACAGAUGUAUAGUCUCAAGAGUUACUGUAUCCAUUGCUGGGUAUAUUAACAUCUCCUUAAAUUUAGCCAUGGUACUACUAAAUAACACCUAAACAGAACAUUGUAAAGUUAAUCUUCAACAACUUGUGUGUAAAAUGAUGAUGAGGGGCCUG